AGGGUUACCAAAAAAACAAAACAAAAACAGAGAGUGUCUAACGACCGUUUUUCUAAAUUCUCUCUAAAAGGUUCAAGAGAAUUUUUUUGUUCGUUCCUCAACUGUGUAAUUACGUAGAGGAUGAGGCGACUUUAUUGCAGCUUGAAAUCGACAUCACGCAAGGGGAUCAGAUAAAAAAAAGGGUUUGCCGAUUGUGGCUAGCAAUACCAUUGCUCGCUAUAUGGGCAAAGGGACCCCCACAGGGGGCUCCAUCCCUUGACCCCCACAAGGGGCUCCGCCCAUUGACCUCAUGUGUAGGCGACAUUAAUUGUAGGGACAUUUUUGUUAUUAACAUUAAUAAGAGAUUGAAUAAAAAUAUAUCAUAUGUUGUAUGCUAUGAAUGAUUUGCACAGUGGUUGGAAAUGCAUAGUUACAGCUCGAUAGCCCAUUUGAUUUAUUAUUUACAAAGGUUGAAGUUUUAUAAA
Molecule: long non-coding RNA, 464 nt
Organism: Gossypium arboreum
Lineage: Eukaryota; Viridiplantae; Streptophyta; Magnoliopsida; Malvales; Malvaceae
Exons: 2
Source: RefSeq, a predicted model, not a curated record